Molecule: long non-coding RNA, 615 nt
Filed under: Phaseolus vulgaris (common bean)
Lineage: Eukaryota; Viridiplantae; Streptophyta; Magnoliopsida; Fabales; Fabaceae
Description: long non-coding RNA (PVUL_LNC003920)
Source: RNAcentral
UAAACUACACUUGAUGGGCCUUCACGGAAUAUGUGCUAGUAUGCCACUCUUCCAUUCAUAGCUUGAUCCAAGUCUUCUUGUCCUAGACGCUCCAAGCUUGGCUUUUUUGUCCUAGACGCUCCUAGCUUGGUCUUAGACGCUCUUGACUUGGCUCUUGCCUUUCAUGGAAGGUUGUGCUUGGCCCUCUUCCAUCAUCCCCUCCCUCUUGAAAAGGAUUUGUCCUCAAAUCCAAAGCUUUUGAGAAAAUCUAUCCUCAGAUUUGCAAACUUGACCUCGGAUAGCAACCUCUUGCUUCGUCAAGGUGUGUCCUCCCGGAUCAAAUGUCAAUCUAUGGGAAUCUUGAAACAAAGCAAAGGAGUUAGUGUGAGCAUUUGGAGAAAGUUUAAUUGUGCGAAGUUGCCAUUUUUGUGUUUCUUUUGUUUUCGGCAACUUCUCACAAUAUUUCCCUUUUGAUGGUUGUAUGUGUCCUCUAAUCCUCUUAUGUUUUCUAAAAUUUCCAAUAGUAGUUACUUGUCCCUUAGGCAUAAUUCCUUUAGGAGGUGGUAACAACUUUAAAAGGGCAAGAGGACUAUGUUCACAUACAACUUCAAAUGUAGAAAUAUGAUUAAUCUUGUG